ACGUACACUCCUACGGGAGGCAGCAGUGGGGAAUAUUGCACAAUGGGCGCAAGCCUGAUGCAGCCAUGCCGCGUGUAUGAAGAAGGCCUUCGGGUUGUAAAGUACUUUCAGCGGGGAGGAAGGCGAUAAGGUUAAUAACCUUGUUGAUUGACGUUACCCGCAGAAGAAGCACCGGCUAACUCCGUGCCAGCAGCCGCGGUAAUACGGAGGGUGCAAGCGUUAAUCGGAAUUACUGGGCGUAAAGCGCACGCAGGCGGUCUGUCAAGUCGGAUGUGAAAUCCCCGGGCUCAACCUGGGAACUGCAUUCGAAACUGGCAGGCUAGAGUCUUGUAGAGGGGGGUAGAAUUCCAGGUGUAGCGGUGAAAUGCGUAGAGAUCUGGAGGAAUACCGGUGGCGAAGGCGGCCCCCUGGACAAAGACUGACGCUCAGGUGCGAAAGCGUGGGGAGCAAACAGGAUUAGAAACCCCAGUAGUCCCAUGA
RNAcentral lists this ribosomal RNA (480 nucleotides) under uncultured organism. RNAcentral describes it as "partial 16S ribosomal RNA". It matches the Rfam family "Bacterial small subunit ribosomal RNA", at positions 329 to 800 of the family's 1533-position model. The record is from RNAcentral.